ACACGACCCACUUGAAAUGAUCUGACACAAUGACAACAAAACCACCAAAAAAAGCUUCACAGAGAUCCAAGUAAAAUGUGAUUAAAGCUGUGAGGGUUCAACAGGGGACUACAGUACGUCUGACAAUGAGCAGCAGUUUAAUGGCUUUACCAACAGCAACCUGGGGAAAAGAUGCAAUAAAAGGCUAAAACCGCAGUCAGGACGGAUGGUCCGCCAUGCUAGAGAGAGCGGAAUAAAAUUAGUUUAGACCAUCCUGCCACUGCUUCUACGAUCUCCAUGAGUUCUUGUUCCCUGUUAAAAGAAGUAAAACUAAAGCCAACUAAGCGCACCUCUCUACAUUGGUUUGGAAAAUUAAGCCGUAGAGGCAAUCAAACUCUAAAUGGCUGCAAUCAAUCAGGCAAUAAGACAAAAAGCACCUUCAAUCCAAGCAUUAUUGGUAACCCGGCGGAAGAAAAGAAAACAGUGCUUCAUCGGUUAAUAAACGAGCCGCACGGGAAAAGCUGGCAAUCAGAAGGCGUACGAAGUGACUCAACAGCUGGGAUCGAGAAAUAUACGAGCAUCACAGCAGACGGAACGAGUCCGAGCCACGCGGCGAUCACGUGACGGCCACGCGGCGAUCACGUGACGGCCACGUGUGCGGCCACAGCUCCUCUCCUGCAUUUAGCCUCCAGACGGAUAAACAGGUUCUACCGUGGCUCUUAAUCGGUUUUGUAGCGUGAUGAGAGCAAAGACUAAAGCUACACAUAAUUGGGACAGUAAUGUCACCAGAUCAUGCAGAUCACUUGUAUGAGCACAUCAUGCCUGAGCUGAAAAGAAUCCAGACUUGGUGCAUUGGAGGCCUUAGCGGGGGAUGAAAUCAGACCACAGACUCUGAAAGCUGCCAAAAUGUAGACAUUCACUAAAAUGCUACAGGCCCAAAUGAAACCUUCCGUAUUGAAGCACAAGCGGCUCAAUGACUUCUUGGCACCAAACAACUCUUUUAAUGUCCUCCAGUCAGGGGGAUCUGCAGCGACGUGCACUUAAACAGUGGAAAGAUGUUUGUCUACCGGACCUCAGCGCUCCAUUGGACACGUCAGAGCACGACGUGUGCGCUAAACUGGUGUGAACCAUCGAGGCCGGGGACUACUUUGUGUGUAUAGAUUGCUACACACCUGACUGCACAUUACACGACCAUAUCGCCGGGGCAACGUGGUCCGAUACGAGGGAAGAGUGAAGCGCAUUGAACAGCUCAACCAUUGGCAUUAAACAAACACAAAACGUGUGCAGCAAACGGAGGCGUGAAAGUCAGCACAUAUCCAGUAGAAGUAAAUACAUUUAUGAUCUUCUGCAUCUACAAAUUAGACCCCUUUGUGGGAAGAAUUUGUCAUGUCUUGAUGCCUUUGAUGUUUUAUGAGAAGCGCUUUGAAUUACUCAAAUGUGUUUUAUGCAUAAACCUUCCUUGGAGUACCAUUUCCUUUUGUUUUUUUAAAUGGAUCACAACCUAAGUGCAGUGCAGCAGCUCUUUUUCAAGCCCCUCAAAUGUGCACAUUUGCUUUUUAUCAUCAUCACGGGAGUAUCUUCGAGUUUUAAACUGUUGGUCGGAGAAUUCAAAAAUAACAAAAGCUACCCGCGUGCGAUGGAAUGAAUGGCGGAUUAAUCUAUCAUGACCAUAAUCAUUAGCUGCAGCCCGCGAGGGGUCACGAGUCAUUGCACAGAUCUGCUGGAAAUGAUGCAAACCCCAUCGCCCAGAAUGAGGAGAAAAAUCAAGGUGAAAGAAGAGGGGUGUUAAGUAUGGAGGCCUUGUUGUAGAUUCCCUUUGUGUUGUCCCAGUGUUAACGUACCAGCAGCAGGGAGCUGAAUAACAUCACAGUCUAUCAGCGUACACACAGCAGCCCCCGUCACAAAGGUCGGCUCCAUGCGUCCCGUACGCCUCCUCCCUCGCUCGCUCCCUUCAACACCAUGCGUCUCUUCCUCCCUCUCUCCACCCCGGCAGCCCCCCCGGGCGUCCUCGCCUCCACCGCCGCGCUCGGACACCUCGGCCGCCGUGUGCCAUUAGGGGAGCGCCCACAGCGGCUCAUAAAUAUUGACUUGUUUCAGCGUGUCCCUCGGGGGAAGUGCUGCGAGCAGCAGGCCGGUGCAUUAGCACGCCAACAGCCAAACGCGGCCCGACGGUCAAUACCGACUGGUGGCCGCGGCUGAGCGAAGCCUCCGUCCGCCCGCUGAGCGCGAAGGCGGAGGUGAAGGAGGUGCUGCAGCGGCCCGCCGGACGAGAGCUGCCAGAGCGGCAUUUAUCGAACUGGCUCGUCGCGCACGGCUGGUGGGUUUUGUUGUUUAAUGUUUAACUGCGCAAUGAGCACGGCUAUCACAUGAAAACAGGUUGACCUGAUGGCGAGCUCCUCUGCCGAUAGGUGUGCAUAAUUAAAAGGAUUAUCCCACCCAAGAGCAGGUAAGGAUUAUAUGUGGCCCUCGUUUAAUCUUCCAGGGCCGUCUCUUGAUUCAGACGUGUUAAUCAAUCUUCUUUGGUGUUAACUAAUUACAUUCUCUGCUUCUAGAGGAUCAGAAACGGUGAAUUAUUCGAGGGGAAGGCGCACUUCCUGAGGGCUGGGAUUCAGGCGGAAGAAUUAAGUCAUUUACUAAUGAGAGAAAACUUAAUUUGUUUCUUCUAGCCCGGUUCAUGAGCUCCCGCUGAGCCGUGGUGGAGGAGUUGAUACCUGCAUCGCGGGAAUACAGGACGGGGGGGGGGGGGCGCGCUCACCUCUGAGUCGGAAACUCCUGCAGUUAAACCAGACUCCCGGAGUGGCCUCGUUUGAUGCUUUAUAAACCAAUUAUUCCUUCCCUCUGAACUGAACCUGGUUGCCUUUUAUAUGUGGGGAGGAUGUCUCGUUUUACUCGUAAAGGCCACACACUUCCCCUACAUGGUCUCAUUGAAACACAUUUAUAUAUCACUCAUUUGUUUUCAGAAUAUGAAACGGUCUUUGAGCAUCUAUCCGGGUGAACACACACGAGACUGCUCAGCGGCAGGCGUCGAACCAAUUAGUGACAUCACAAUGACUACGUGCACUUUAUACACGCAGUCUGUGGGCAACAGUACAGGUGGGGGGAGAGGAAGCAGUGCUCACUGCGUGUGAGGGGAAAAAGGAAUGACGUAAAUACAUAAAACAAGAAAACAUCUUAAGGCCAGUUGGUGUGUGGAUCCAGAUUUUGACGAGUUAAUUAAGUCCUUCCCGUUAAACAUUGAGCCAAUUAAAACGUUGUGGGCUUUUUGAAAGAAAGUCCGUUAAACAUUAUGACAGCAACGCAAACAGGACUGACAGUUUAGCCAUUAGUGUUUAUUCCAUCCAGGCAACUAUGGGACCAUAAGCAGCAGGUUGGACAUUUCCUCACAUCAUUAGUCACACCCUAAUGUUCCCUUUUUUGUGUGUGCGGAUGACAGGUCACAAAUACAAUUUAAAAACUUCAUGUUGACAAGGACCGAGUCACUUGAAAGCGCCUUUACGUGGCAGGAGUCUCCUCAGCUGAAGUAAAUGUUUAAUGGGAUUUCUGAUUGUGUUGGUGAGCGUACGCUGACUCACAACGACGGGCGAGCGGCGCCACUCUGACGUAGGGACGAGUUGAAAUAACGAGAACUGUAAUUUAUCGAUUUCAUUUUUUUUUUGUUCAUUCAGGAAUCAUCACAUUUUUCCCCCUGCCGCUCAGCAACAGUGCGUGUGCGUGUUUGUUUUGCACAUUCCCUCAUUAAUAAGUGAUGCAAAUCGAUGUCGAGUGUUGCCUAUUAACACUUGCCUCCUCUCGGCAGUGAUAUUCUAAGCACACGCUGCACGGAAUGUUGAGGCCUUCAAGGAUUCGCAUUCCAUCAGCAGAAGGUAAAUAAUACAUCUUAUUGGAUUUGAGGGCCAGAGCUUCACACUUUGCAGAGGGAAAAUAAAUCAACUGAAACAUAUGUGGCGCAACAGGCCACGACGAGGACACCGAGGGAUCAAAUAAAUGCUGAAGGAAAAAGGAAAAGUACCAGUGGACUCUGGUGUCGCAUCACUAGCGGAGAUAAGCGCGCGCUCCUCUCCAGCGUAACACGUAAUGUUGUUUUCCUCCUCCUGCUCUCCUGAGCGGUUUCAGCUGAUGCAUAAUUUAAUGUGAAAAUGGUGUAUUAUUCUGUCGGCGGGGACGCACUGGAAAAACCUCAGAAAAGCCCAAUGAUGGAGUAACAUUCUGGGGCAGGCGGCUUUUUCUGUUCUUUUUUAAAAAAAGUCUGACCACAUUUAUUGAGCAAAAGUUACCCAGAGAGCCUGAGGUUUGACUGCUGGAGCGUGACUCCGUCCGUCCUCGUCCGUCCUCCUACGCCCUCGCCCGUCCUCCACUGUCCCGGGGGCCCAUCGCUUGCUCGGACCCUCUGGAGUUGCGAGUCGGAGACACAACGGUUUGUGUCUCCGACUCAAAGCGCGUCCCAGAGCGGUUGGUUUUGGAGUUUUUCAUUCCAUGACUGAUUGGAUAAUUGGGGGGACGCCAGUUUGUUUUCUUCUUUUCUCCCGGUGAAGAUCGGUUUUCUGACUAGAUUCAUUAUCAUGGGAAGCCACACGUUGGGUGUUGAUACACAACGAAAGGAAGGAAAAGACUCAAACACGGAUGUUUAAAGCCUUUUUGCGGUUUCAUUUCCUCUGACGAUGCCUUCAUGAUGCCUCGUUGGUGGCUGUGAGAUUGCAGCUGGCGCAGAAAGGUGAAGCACAUUAUUUGAAGUUAAUUAAGUGCCCACAACAUUACUUGCUCGGGGAGUCAUUUGUGUUUCUUGAAUACUGAUUUCAUUACUCAAAGCAGUAGGUUUUCUUUUACAGAGUGGCGUUUGGAAUGGAAGGCAACAUUCUUCUUUAACGAGUCGGGGUUUGCUGAAGAAAACCCAACAGAAACAAGCGGUCACGGUCAGACAAAACACUAAGGAUUCAUUUGAGAAAUCAGCUAUUUCUGACUGAAGUUUCUGAAGCGUGCGGUUAUGCACAAUUAAGCUCCGGGAAGCAGAACUCAUCUUAUUGGCUGAUUUACAUCUCAAGUCAACAGAAGUAAAGUACAAUUCAUGUUGAAAAAUAGUCGAGCUACAGCAGGGCGGAUGUUAGCUUAGCCAAGCUAACUACUUACUUAUUAGGUUAAAGUAAGUAAGUCAAAUUUCAAAGACAAUCAUCUCCACCAGUUGCAGUGCAGCUGUGUGUGUAUAUACAUACACACACCUAUAUGUAUGUAAUGCAUGAUACUUUGAGAACAGAGAGCCUGAGAAAUGGGCCUUUGAUCGACGGUAUUAUUCAGAGCCUGAUUUCUGCUUUAAAUUAAAAACACAUUAUAUAUUAUAAUUGAAAUAUGAAAGCCCUGCAGAAAUGCAUUGCUGUAGACGGACUCAAAGGCAGUGGGAGGGAGCUUCGUCUGCAUACUUUUAACACAUCUUUUGUCCAAUGACACAUUUAUGACUGCAUGAUUAUUAUUUUUUCCCCCCCCAAAGAACACGAGAAGUGACUCACAAUCCAUCGAACACGGUUCAACCUCAAUAAUCCCACUUUCCUUGCAGUCAAGCCUUGUGUCUACACAAUCUGGAGCGCCCCAGUUUGUGCAUCUGCAGACUGCACAUAAUCCCCUUUAAUUCCACGCUGCGCUCUCCGUGGAGCCGCUUGUUCUUAGAGCAGCCAGCCACGGCGCUAACGAGCCUUUCAAAAGACAUUAUGACUUAUUAUAAUUUGAGAACAUUACGGGCUAAUUUCUCCAGGGGCGAUUCCACUAGCCGGGCUCUGUGUGGGGCCCCGUUUUAUUACAUCACAUUCCCUCCACGCGCAGUGAAACCGUAUCUUUGGUCCCUGUGCUGCUGCAGCCUAUAUAUUCACACUGUGGUGGGAGGGGGGUCUGAAUCACCAGUCAUUUUUGGUCUCGAGCAUUAUUAUCAAGUACGACACUUAUAAUUAUUGCUAGGGUCGGGAAGUUUCAUUACAUGGAUUGGAAUAACUGGCUCAGUCGGACUGAAAUGAAAUUAUCCGUUUCAUGUAAACACCUUUGUCCGACUACGUGCGGUGCGACUACGAUCCGACUAACACCCCUGGAUAACUCGAUCCGGUUAAUAGUUCGACUAUUGCGGCAUGUAACGGUGAAUCAGAUGAGGAACUGGACUUUGCGCAUGCUCGCGAUCCCGACGGCGUCUUCUCUCCGUUAUCAAAUCAGCCAAUAGCGCCAUUCGCAUUCGCUGUGCUCCUAUUAACAUCAUUAACAUCAUGCACACAUAGUAGAGGGACGUAGCUUCACCUUGCUCUCUGCUCGCCAUCUUUCUCGUAAUGUUGUUGUUGUUGUUGUUGAUAGUGGUGAAGCGGUCAAGCGGAAAUGGCUGUAUCACAACUAGUUGUAAUGAAAACAGCGCCACCUAUCGUACCGGAUAUGACAUGCUUUCCGCCAAUGAUUGGAUUUAUUCACUGCCAUGUAUAUUGGGAUAAUAGCACCUCCCCCUGAAAGACAACAUAGUCCCACUAAGCAAAGACUCCAAUUAUACCAUCAUGUAAACACACUGACUGAGACACACAGUGUAUCCACAGGACAUAAAGACAUUUACACAGACUUAAAGCCUUAAUACAUCAUGAUAGCAUUAGAAGUAGGACUCAGUUUUACUGAGUGGGGCUUGAAUGCAUCAUCUUGUGAUCUGCACGAGUUGGAUAUCCUAAAUGUUUUUAACAAGAGAGCUUUCCUCCACAUAUUUUUGUUUAGUUUCAACAGCGAGUGUAAUCCUGGAUUAAUAGAUACACAGAGUUUUCUUUAGUUGUCUGGAAGGUCAUUUCGUAGAAGGCAGAGUUGGUAAACUCUGUAUGACAAAUAAACUCCAUGUUUGGAGUUGGUGGAGCUCCCCUUUAUUAAAGUAGCAAGCAGUCAGUGUGUUGAAUUCUGAACACAAGUGACAGCACACUGAGUGCAUCUCCGUUCCAGUGCCCUCCGGCAAAAACACGCAACCCGGCGCCUGGUGCCUGUAAAAGGUGCAAAGAUCUGAUUGGAGGCCCACGGUUCAUUGAUAUUUUCAUUUAGACUUCGCCUUGAGCUUUAAUUCAAGCAAUUCAAUUCCCGACUCGCUUGGAUCACGUUGUUCCCGCCGUGCUGCUUCAACUCCCAGACACAGGAAGUCUGGUCCCGUUGUGCUUAAACAGCGAUUUCUCAGAAGCACCAUUAAAGCGUGAUGAUUCGGAGACCUUCCCUUUAUUUCGCUCACACACACGCAGUGAUCACUAAUUCAAAUUGCUACGGGUUAAGAUGCAGGUGCGACUUCUUUUAACCCAAAUCCACACAGAGAAUAAGACUGAAGCAAUUCAAUGAGGAGGAGACUAUAUGGUGCGUUGCUGGAAGCCUCAGCCUGUGUCCUCCAUUAACACUCUGAAUGAGCUUUUGACACAUUUAAAUGGCACCAGUGAGUAAAAAGACAUAACACAGAUCAUAGAAACACGGCAAUAAAGCUCAGUUUAUCGAGUUAUUGUCGCCAAACCGCAUAUUCCAUGUGGUGCACGUUGGCGUUUUUAGCGCGCGCUGAAGCAAAGCCUCUCGCGGAAUUCGUUUCAAACGUCCUAUCAAGACAUUACCCAUUAUAUGAUUUAAGUUCAUCCCGUGUGGAUACGUUCUAUCGUGGUACAAAACGUGAGAAGAUGCAGAAGUGUGGGUAUGGCGUUCUGCCCUCACGGCGCCACUGCGUCCUUCUGUCACUCCAGCCAAUGUGCAUUGGAGGUGUGGAAGUGAGACAUGAAGCAACCGCCAGAGGUGAAAGGAACUAAUUCAGUGGGCAUACUUCAUCAGGCCCCCUGAUUUGAUCCACUUGGAACCGUCGGAAGGCGGUUAACGUACUCGAGGGCUUGAUUGGAGCAAUUUGCGCCACAAGUCUCGCUGCCUCCUGGAGUCCUAACGCUUCAUUGCGGCUUUGUGUGACAUCAUCAUCAUUAUUUGUGUGAAUUAAUGGUCAUAAAUGUACUUGGAAACCAAAAAAGAAAUGUUGGGAAUAGUUGCAGAACUUUAGUUUCACGACGUUAGCUGUGUAAAUACGUCUCCGGACGCCUGGUCUGCACACGUCCUCCCACUCGAGCCUUUUUGAUCAAGAAAAGAAUUUGCUCACGGGCUUCAUUUCCACAGCUCCUUAAGAUAAUAUUUGACUAUGGUAACCAGUUUGUUUGCAAUAACAGCAAUCUGUUCCAAAGCCAUCCCCACCCCCCCCUGCAGCCGAAAGCAUCAAUUUAAAUGCGACUUAUCUGGGAACUCGAUGCAGGGAACGAUGGACAAUUUUGGUCCUCAAAACGAUGGAACUUUCUUUGAACAAAUGAAACUGCAGCCUAAUGCGCGCGGCUUUGGGCUGUUGUCGGUCAGCGGGAUUCACCGCUGAAUCCUACGUGCAGCACUGGUGUCACAAUAUGCAUCCCAUAAUGCAUCAGUAUUCUUUAGACACGACGCACAGUUGAUACAAACAAAGGGAGGAUCGGCACCGUGACUGUUGGCAGUUAAGCCGGGUUUUGGGGUUUUAACACCUGUCAGUUUUUCUCUGCUGUUCUUCCUGCUACUCAAACACUACACCUCAAAUGAAAUAAUUUCCAUAUUAAUACUUCUUUCCUUUUACGAUGCCCGUGACUUCCAUUCUAACAGUGAGUCGAGGAUUAGAAUAUAAUCUCAGGCUCCUCACUUCUGUUGCUAUCAUUCCCCACUGCACGGGAAAGGGCUUUCGUUGUGUUGGUGGCGGGCCAAAUCCAUUGCGUUUCCAUUUUUCAACCCCUCUUGCUGCCCUUAUCCAAUUCAGGGCUUAUGAUUGUAAUACUAAAACAGAGCGAGUUGUCAUACCAGAAACGGCGAUGAUGAAUGCCCCGCUGCUCUGCUUGCUUGUUUGUUUUGCCGGGAGGGGGGAGGAGAAGGGGGGGGGGGGUCGGCGGAAUUGAAUUUCAUGCUUAGUUGUCGAGGUGCAUUUUUUUUGACUGCGUCUGCUCUGCUCUGCUCUUAACAGGCAGCAUUGAUUAAAUGGAAUAGUUCUGUUAUCUGGAUAAAAAGGGGAGAAACACGAGGACGAUAGUGGGCAAGAGAAAUAAUGAGUUCUUUCAUCUCGGCAGUGAGGCCGUCCGCGUCUUUCACACUUCCCAGGGAGACGUACACAGCUUAAGGAAACGUUUAAUUAGAAAAUGUCAACCGUGUGUCUGCGUGCUAUGUGCGCGGAAUAAUAACAUUUAGGAUGUGAAUGUGACAGCACAUUUUCCUCUCAUGCCGCUUUUGCCGCUCAAAGACGAGCAAUCAAUUGAUUCUGAAGAGGGAGAGAAAAUAGUUACCGCCAGCGCUCUGCAUACGUCACAAGGUGGGAUGGCGCCGUAUUUCAUAGCUUACGAGGACAUUUUCCUGACCUGAAAAUCCUUCUUUGUGUGUGUGUGUGUAAGUUUCAGAAAGUAAACAGAGCGGUCAGAAGCCUUCAGUCACAGUGACUGGCGGGAUGAUUAUUGAAGAGCGACCUGACGUUGAUCAUCGCACGCAUCUCCCAUGCAGAAGGACCCGGUGCUGCUCACCUCUACAAAACAGUGAGAUGUUUAAAAAAAACACGGGAGAGAACCUGGUGAGGCCCUCUGGCGCCCCCCCCCAAUAGAGACAUGAAGGGUUCGUUGUGCACCUGCACCGCAGUUAGAUCAUAGCCCAACGUGGCUAAUUGUGCUGACUGCUGGCAUCCAAGAUGCGUUCUCCCCUCAACAUCAAAGCUAAAUCCGGAUGCCCAAAUAAAGCCGGUAUGAAAGGAGACGUCUUUUUUUUUUUUUUAAACAACGUGAAACACUCGUGACAUGUUUGUGUUAGAAGAAAAAGGUUUUAGGACCAUUAUGAGCAGUGAAACCUGGAAGGACAUACUUUUAAUUAACUUGAGUUUUACUUCUACUACAUCUCAGAGGACAAUAUUGUACUUUUUAAAAUCAAUUUUUAAACAAUUAAGUAUUUUCACAAGUCAAGAUAGCAGUAAAUAAAGAAUUUAAAUGAGCUGCACAUGGUGCAACUUGAGGGUUAUAAAAACAAAUGAAUACAGUACGUUUCCUACUGUAUAACGAGUUAUAUAAAAUGGGUCAUUCCGCUAAAUGAGCAUUUACUUUCAUGCUAAUAUUUCUAUACUUUUACCAAAGUAGAAGAACUGAAGAACUGCACAAGAAAUGAAUGCAAAUGAUUAAUGCGUGUGGACGGAGGAGGAGGGGCAGCACAUUCAUUUACAUACAUGUAGCAAUAACAAAGAUUUAUUACGUGACAAGAAACGAUGUGUCCGACAUGCAGCUAAUAAAACGGUAAAGAAGAACGUGCUGGAGCUCGUACACACCCGCUCUCAUCACAUUGUAAAACAAGGUGAGACGUAAGCAAAUAUUUGUAAUAUAUUUAAUAUACGUUCCACUUGAUUAUUACAAUAAAAGAAUAUUAUGCUUAGAAUGUGACAUGAUGUUCAUUUUAUGCUAAUGAGAUUAUUUGUCCUGUAUAGUUUACGUGUUAAAUAGAUGUACCACUACCCUGGAGUAGAACACAGGACCCCCCCAUGGAGCGCCUCGCUUCCUGUGUGUGACCCUUCAGCGGCGUAUUUACCUUCCACGUCCACAGCAGGUAAACGCCGCUUCCUUCAUCUCCCUUGUUAAUCCUCGCUGAAACACACACGGAUCGCAAUUAAUGCGAGGCGCCGGUGAUCCCUCCGAAUCCCCUUUCAUCCACUUAGCCACGGUGGCUCCAGGACAACCGGCCCCUCUCAGAGCCACUCGUUUGUUUUGGCUUAAUCCCUCACGAGGGAAAGGCCUCCGAGGAACCUUUAGGGGAUCUUCAGAUGAAAAUAAUUUACGUUUUAACAGAUUCCAAGCGGACUUUACCAAGCCUCCAACAUGUGGGAAAAUCUCACAGCUGGAAAAUCUCUUCUUUUUGGGACCAUAACUAAAGUUCAAUGAAAUUAUCAAUACAAGGUUCAAUACAGCCAUUAAGUUAUUCCGUAAGCUAAAGAGGCCAAAGAAAGGAGCCAGUGGUUCAAACGUUGGAUUGGCUGCUUUCUUUUUUCUUCUUUUGCAGCGCAGCUAAACUACUAGUUUCUCCUCUCCCCACCUUUGGCCUCAGCUAAGAAAAGGCCACAGAAAAGCACACAGAUCCGUUUUGCGUCAAUCCUCUGAUCUUCCGAUGAACCUCAGUUUAGCGACGCAGAGCCUCUGAAGCCAAAGGACCGAGCGUCGCACAAAUCAAAGCAGGAGGGGGCACACACAGCCACACAGCCGGAGGAAGUGGUGGUCUCGAUGGGCUUCACCUGCAGAUGAGCACACAUAACCACACAGACACACCUACGCACGCGUGAUUCAUACCCCACUAACGAUUUCACACGUUGUCGUUAUGGCUUCAGCCCGCGAGCACACCAAUACAUUUUCAUACGAGGGGGAAAGGGAACGAGCACAGACAGACACACACACACACACAACCCAAACACCCCCUUCCACACAAACAAUUUCCCACUUACCCACUCGGCCUCAGACUAUUUUCUUGGCAUAAAAAGGAAAAACACACACACACCAGCAGUCCUGUUGAGGAGCUGAUAGCGAGCGCAUCACAGCCUCCAGCAGGCUGAAGACGCGUAAGUUCGGCGGAGGUUAUUGGAUUAGUCACUUUUCUCUCUGUAGUGUUGUGUUCCUUAACCUGCAGGGCGCCGUGUAGCAGGCUAGUGGACCUCAGCUCGUUGUGUGCCGAGUGUCCCCGAUUCAUCUGGAGGUCGACACACACACAGAAUCACGCGUGCUCAGGGUAGCUUCCGUUCAGAACGACAUUUUGAGGCGUUGGAAGCGGCGGCUGACUUUCACAAGGAGAUCAGUGCGCUGGCACGGGCAACCACUGGAUGUCUUCCAAGUAGAUAGCGAACCACACGUUCGUUUCAAUGGAGACGGAGGCGCUUUAAAACAUGCAUCGUUUUGUUAUAUUUAUAUAUGCCAUUGGAAAGCAAAUUAAUGCAUCCAAGAAGGCUCGUACGAUGCAGUUGCAGUUUGCAACACACAUCACAAAUAACGGACACAGACUACUCAUCUUUGUCAAAGUAAUCAGAGGAAAUAAGUUGGGGGAGCAGCAUAUGUUUUAGUUUGAGACCAAAAGCCAGAAAUCAGAGGACCAGCAGGCGGACUGAUUACAACAGAACUCUGAUACACACGACUGCAGAAAAGUUCACACCAUCCUGCAGAGACACAGAGAGACAGAGAGACACAGAGAGAGAGAGAGAGACAGAGAGAGACAGAGACAGAGACAGAGAGAGAGAGAGAGAGAGAGACGGACAGAGCUCCCAGGGCCCAAACUAAACAGCAGGUGUCAGAUGCGUCGCGUUCAGA
Gasterosteus aculeatus aculeatus (three-spined stickleback) is the source of this 12299-nucleotide long non-coding RNA. The record is from Ensembl. Lineage: Eukaryota; Metazoa; Chordata; Actinopteri; Perciformes; Gasterosteidae.